Molecule: ribosomal RNA, 2280 nt
Filed under: Hesperocorixa sp. BYU ACBL027
Lineage: Eukaryota; Metazoa; Arthropoda; Insecta; Hemiptera; Corixidae
Description: eukaryotic LSU rRNA
Rfam family: Eukaryotic large subunit ribosomal RNA
Source: RNAcentral
GGCGAGCGAACAGGGAGGAGCCCAGCGCCGAAUCCCUGGCGCGCUGCGCGCCAGCGACAUGUGGCGUUCGGGAGGGUCCGUUAUUCCGGGGCACGCCGUGCCGAGUCCAAGUCCUUCUUGAACGGGGCCACGGUCCGUAGAGGGUGCCAGACCCGUAGCGGCCGACGGCGUCCCCGGGUGGACCUCUCCUUAGAGUCGGGUUGCUUGAGAGUGCAGCCUAAAGCGGGUGGUAAACUCCAUCUAAGGCUAAAUAUCACCACGAGACCGAUAGCCAACAAGUACCGUGAGGGAAAGUUGAAAAGAACUUUGAAGAGAGAGUUCAAUAGUACGUGAAACCGUUCAGGGGUAAACGGGGAAGACUUGAAAAUCCGAAAGGAGAGAUUCACGUCUUCCGCCGGCCCCGUCAAGCCCGUCCGCGUAUGGUCGUACCCCCUCGCUCUGGCUCCGGCUCGGGCGACGGCGGGUCGGCCGGCCGGGCGGGCGCGGCGGAGCUGCGGAGGACCGCACUUCUCUCCCAGUAGGACGUCGCGACCCGUUCGGAGGCAGGCCUGAUGCCGGGCCGUAAGUCUCGAGUCAGCCGCCGGCCUUCGGGCCGUCGGCGCUCGGGUGGGCCUAGUGCAGGGUAGCGUUACGGACGGUAGUUGUAGACGGUGCUGAACCGCUCUUCGGAGCGCCUUCGGCCAAUUCCGAGUCGGUCGUCGAGCGCGGACGCGGGCCUUCCGGGGCCCGCUCCGCUUCGCCUCCGGCUGUCGGGUGUUGGUCCUGGGGCGGCGUUCACAUCACCCGUCGGCGACGCCGCAGUUUCGAGCUCUUACCCGACCCGUCUUGAAACACGGACCAAGGAGUCCAACGUGUGCGCGAGUCGUUGGGCGUCAAAACCCAAAGGCGCAAUUAAGGUGAAGGGAAGCUUGCCUUUCCUAGGGAGGAGGGGGGCACCGCGCCUCACGGGCGGUCCCCCCGCACUCCCGCGGCGUCUCAGGCUCAUCGCGAGCCGAGGCGGACCUAGAGCGUUCACGUUGGGACCCGAAAGAUGGUGAACUAUGCCUGGCCAGGACGAAGCCAGGGGAAACCCUGGUGGAGGUCCGUAGCGGUUCUGACGUGCAAAUCGAUCGUCGGAGCUGGGUAUAGGGGCGAAAGACUAAUCGAACCAUCUAGUAGCUGGUUCCCUCCGAAGUUUCCCUCAGGAUAGCUGGCGCCCAGGUUGAGACGAGUCUCAUCUGGUAAAGCGAAUGAUUAGAGGCAUUGGGGUCGAAACGACCUCAACCUAUUCUCAAACUUUAAAUGGAUGAGAACCCCGGCUUGCUUGAUCGAGUGAAGCUGGGGCUCGGAUCCGGGUGCCAAGUGGGCCAUUUUUGGUAAGCAGAACUGGCGCUGUGGGAUGAACCAAACGCCGAGUUAAGGCGCCUAAAUCGACGCUCAUCAGACACCAUGAAAGGCGUUGGUUGCUUAAGACAGCAGGACGGUGGCCAUGGAAGUCGGAAUCCGCUAAGGAGUGUGUAACAACUCACCUGCCGAAGCAACUAGCCCUGAAAAUGGAUGGCGCUGUAGCGUCGUGCCUAUACUCGGCCGCCAACGGCAAACCCGGCAAGGUCCCGCGAGGGGCCGGCCGCCGUUACGCCUUGGUGAGUAGGAGGGCCGCGGCGAUGUGCGCAGAAGGGUCAAGGCGUGAGCCUGCCUGGAGCCGUCGCCGGCGCAGAUCUUGGUGGUAGUAGCAAAUACUCCAGCGAGGCCCUGGAGGACUGAUGUGGAGAAGGGUUUCUUGUGAACAGCCGUUGCACAAGAGUCAGUCGGUCCUAAGCCCUAGGAGAAAUCCGAUGCCGAUGGGCGCCGUUACGACCGAGUCUCUCCGACGCCGACUCUAAGGGCAGCCUGGCUGCCCGACGAGGCGGCGACGAGGACGCGCAAGUUGGCGCCCCAGCACGGGCGAAAGGGAAUCCGGUUCCUAUUCCGGAACCUGGCAGCGGAACCGUUCCAAGUCGGGCCCUCUGACGAGAGCUCGUCGGGGUGACCCAAAGGGACCCGGAGACGCCGUCGGGAGAUCCAGGGAGAGUUGUCUCUUCUCUAUAAGCGUUCGAGUUCCCUGGAAACCUCUAGCAGGGAGAUAGGGUUUGGAGCGCAAAGAGCACCGCAGUUACGGCGGUGUCUGGAUCUUCCCCUCGGACCUUGAAAAUCCGGGUGAGGGCUACGAGGAACACCGCGCCAGACCGUACCCAUAUCCGCAGCAGGUCUCCAAGGUCAACAGCCUCUAGUCGUUAGAAUAAUGUAGGUAAGGGAAGUCAC